GCAGGUAUCAACACAAAGUGAAUCUAUUUUAUAAAACAUUUCAAAUACGUUAGAAGAAAUGUGGAAAAUAUUUUAAUAAACUUGGUAAGAGGGAACUCUGCCUGAGGAAUAAUCAGAAGCCAUGAAGAAUACUAUGUCAUUAAGCUGAAAAACAGAAUGCAGGCUACAAAACGAAUAUGAAGAGGGCCAUCUUCCCCAACAUCUUGGAAUGAAUUCAGUUCAUGAACCAAGGUACUACUGUGUAGUGCUGCA
This 252-nucleotide long non-coding RNA is filed under the name Chinchilla lanigera (long-tailed chinchilla). RNAcentral describes it as "lncRNA (ENSCLAG00000028120.1)". The record is from RNAcentral. Lineage: Eukaryota; Metazoa; Chordata; Mammalia; Rodentia; Chinchillidae.